This is a long non-coding RNA of Megalobrama amblycephala (Wuchang bream), 580 nucleotides long. RefSeq lists it as uncharacterized. NCBI's taxonomy places the organism in Eukaryota, Metazoa, Chordata, Actinopteri, Cypriniformes, Xenocyprididae. The transcript is spliced from 3 exons. The record is from RefSeq and is a predicted model, not a curated record.
GUGGAAGUUCACUCCGAAUUCUGAUUUGGCGAUUCGAUUUCGCACCUCGGAAUAUGAUUUCAUGUUUUUAUGCAUUGGGGUUUGGCUUCAUCUCUGCCUGCUGCUGCAACUGUUGUCGUCAAAAGGAGGCUGAACAUGACUUCAUUCACUGAAGGGAAGUGAAGUCAUCUUAAUGGAUACCUGAGUAAAUAAAGUCAGCCUCAACAUUUGACCCGUUCCACGAGGGCCAUAAAUCACCUCUGCAAUGCUCUGGUCAACUGUUACAGAAUGGAACGCACAGGAUCGUGGGAUAUCAAAGGCAGCGAAGGAUACAUCAGAUGAAGGCAUCUCAUACCGUUUUUACUGUGUUUUUUUUUGUUUUUUUUGGGGAUCAAAUUAAUGCAGUCUUGGUGAGCAUAAGACACUUCUUUCAGUGACAUUACAAAAUCUUACCGACCCCAAACAUAUAAAAAAUCAUCCAAUCUGUGGAAAAGAACAUCUCCAUAUUUUGUAUUAAAUAUGAAAUUCCAAUAGCAGCACCCAUCAGUGAGCAGUGUCAACUUUAAAAUAAAGAGAUGUGUGUUUUGUGCCCCCACCAAUU